UCGUUUUUUCCUCUAGGAGGCAAGAGCUGCACUGCCUAAUUUUGGGGUGUUUGCUCACCUGGCUAAAUUUGCCGAUUGACCAAGAACACAUGAAAUGCAACACUCAAAUAUCAUGCCAACUUUUAUUCUCAUUUGGUAGAGCAAAGCAUGCUCUGAAGUCUGAAUUAUGGUUCCAUUCGAACAACAGUAGGCAUAUGGUUCCAUUCGAACAACAGUAGGCAUAAACUCAGCAAGAUGAUGACAACAUCAGGAUGGUUGGGUAAUUCAGAAGCACUCCAUAUAUAUCAGUGCUGCAGCAGGUCUCUGAACCAGUAGGCCGACGCCUUGGGGUGCCGAUCCAGGGUGGGGCUGUUGAAGUCGACGUACACGAUGCCAAACUUGGAUGAGUAGCCGGAGAUCCACUCGAAGUUGUCGAGGAGAGACCACGCGAAGUAGCCGAGGACGUUGGCGCCGCCGUCGAUGGCCUUCUUCAGCUCGCUGAGGUAGCUCCGGUAGAACCGGACCCUCGUCGCGUCCCGCAAGUACUGGUCGCGGGUGAGGCCCCCCGGCUGAUCCAUUCCUGGCAACAUGAUGAUAACAAGGUUAGUAUAUGCAUGACAAGAUGAGUGAGAGGCAUGAAACCGAGCAAAGAUGAUAUGGAGCUUCAAAAAAGGAUGAAGUAUUUAUCCAGUACCGUUUUCGGUUAUGACAAUAGCUGGGUUUCCAUACUUCUGGCUGAGGUAGUGCACGCAUCCGUACAUCCCCGACGGGACGAUGUAAAGCCAGUUAGAAUUCGCCUACAAGAGUUCACAAGGAUUGAUCAUGUUAAUUUUGAACACAACGGUGCAAAUAAUGUCCGAGAAAAUAGAGCUGAAAAAGGUUGCAGCUAAGAGCUACACACACACCUUUGGUCCAAUCGGUUUGCCAUUUCUCUCAACUGCAAAGAUUUCGGCGAUGAUUAAAAGGGUGAACCGACAAUAUUCAUCGGAAUGCGAUGAUGUAAAACCUAGAGCUUGGGACAAGAAACUCACAGGCAUAGGUAACCUGCCAAUCGGCUGAGUAGCUGGUCGGCGUCUGCUGCGUCAACUUCUGCCCCUUCAUGAGGCUGGCCGUGUACUGGUUGAUCCCAAUGUAGUCUGCUGAGCCCUUGACCAAUUUAGCUUCAUCGGGAGUGAACCUGGGCAACCUCUCUUUCACAAGGUCUUGCAUUAUCUGUGGGUAAUGCCCGUUUAUUAGCGGGUCGACAAACCUGCAUCCAAAUGCAACGUUGAUGGCAUAAGCGUCGGUGUCAUAUUUUGUUUAUCGAUCUGAAAUGCUUUGUCAGAGGAUGCUAGUAUGGCUUACCAGCCAACAUGGAAGUCCCUGGCUCUUUGGGCUGCUGCUUGGUCUUCAGUUGAGUUGGUAAGAGCCUCAUACCAGUUGAAGUCCAGAACUAUUCCAACCUUCCCCUUCUGAGCUGCCUACAUUUUAAAAAAAAUUAUUCAGAUAUUAUUCUAUCAUCAGUCUAGACAGAAUGAUGUUCACCACAAAUCAUACAUAUCUGAUAUCUCAAGAUUUCUUAUCACUUACGGGUUAGGGAAAUAAUACUAAUACAUGUAGUAAGAAAAAAUAAUUCAAACUACACUCCUGAAGCUGAGCCUAGUAUGAUUUACUCUUGCAAUUCAAGUAGAAAUAUACCUGAUACUUAGUCCGGUAUCUUGCAACUGCAUAACCAUGAGCUAAGAGAAAAUUGUGAGCAACGAUGUAAGGUUCUGUUGCUGAGUUGCCACCGGCAGCGCAUUUGCUGCAUCUCUGAGGAGGAUUCGACCCUACAUCGUAACCAAGAAGCGCAACUAUCCUUGGUUCGUUGAAUGUAAACCAGUGCUUUACACGAUCGCCAAAGGUCUUAAAACAAAAGUCAGCAUAGUCUGCAAAUAGUCCCCUACAGAACAAAUGUUAUGAAGAUAGUCAUGCACUGCUCAUUGUUCAACCUUUCAUAUCAGAGGUACAUACUAUAUAGAAAAACAUACUUCCAUUUUAGAAAUUAUUACUGUACACAGAGUAGUAUUUACAUAGAAAAGCACAUAGUGCUCGUAUGUUUUGCAUUUUACUUUCGGGCAAACAUACAAAAACUUCCACAUGCACAAUGUUCAUGCUCAAUACGCAAAAUCACUUUAGGCAAUUACUGUACACAGUCACAGAGUAACUGGUAAUUUGUCUAAACCAUUUUAGCUUUCUCAGUAUAUAUGCUAGCUUCCAAUUCCAAACUACAAGUAUACAGUAACUCCAAAGUGAGAAGGUAAAUGUAACACAUGAGUACAUAGAAUACUAGUUUGACUUACACCGUCUUUGCAUUUAACCAGCCUCCAUACUUCUUCUCGAGUGCAAGAGGGAGAUCAUAGUGGUAAAGAUUGAUAUAAGGAGUAAUGCCUGCUCAGUUUUCAUGGAAGCAUUCAGAUAUUAAUGUAUUCAGGUUCCCAUGGAGGUUUCACAGGUUGAAGCAGAUGGUUAGUUCCGCGCAAAAAUGGAAAUAGAUGAUUAGUUAUAUGCUAUACCUUUCUGAAGAAGGUAGUUUAUCAGAUUAUUGUAAUACGCGACGCCUUCUUUGUUAACUUUUCCGUCACCAUCUGCGCAAGUCAAAGAUGAAUAAGGGUGGUAACUCUUGUGUUUCAUUCAGUAUAAUAUUGGAGUUAUGUAUUAGCAUGCUACGGUUCCAGCCAAACUCGGAGUACCUGGGAAGAUUCUGGACCAUGAGAUAGAAAACCGAUAGGCGUCGAAAUUCAAUCCUUUCAUGAGAUUAACAUCUUCCUGUGCAAACAUAAAAGAACAAAUCAUAAGGCCCUGGGAGUUCUUUCUCUGACAGUUGUAGUGUGAAUGUUAACAAUUAGUACUGCAUUGGGAUAUGUCAACCAGCUCAACUUUUGUGAACUGUGAUAUAUGCAGUUGUAAUUUUGUAGUGUUUACAGUUAGUACUGUGCCGGGAGAAUGGAGAUGUCAAUCAGCUCAAUUUUUGUGAAAUGUGAUCUAUGCAGUGUAAUUCUGAAUGGGUACAGAUAUUUCACUUGUAGAAAGCUUGGUCAGCCAUCGCUUCACUGACCAAAUGAAGAUGGACAUUGCCACCCAUUAGCUUCUAUAUAGAUUGACAAACAAAAUAUGGCAUCUACGUUUUGCACGGUGCUAUAAAGAUCCCAGAGGAGCAGCAAAAGGAAUAGAGAUUUCAAUUAAUUUCUGACAUGGAAGUUAUUAUGAUUUUUAAUACUGUACUACAAGAUGCGCUCUGCUUGCUUCGGAUGUGGUGGUAGUACCUUGUAGCGAUGAUAUUGAUCCGUAGUAACAUCUGCAUUUUGAUUGCCCGCAAUAUUUCCUGCUCAUUGCAACAUAAAUAAGAAAAAUGUCAGUGUGCAUGGAUGAGGUCGAAGAAGAACAAUGCACUUUGGAUCUCAGUUCAAAAUUCUACAUCGAGUGUUUAGUCGCCUAUUAACUGGUUUUACCCUUGGCAAAUGUUCAAAUCCUUGUCGGAAAAUACAUCGGAACUACGGAGUAGUGCUAAGCAACUCACUGGCCACCCCUAAAAAAAAGCAACUCACUGGCCACUGGCCACUGGCCACUCGCUGGUGCCAAGCAAGAGACAUACGAGACGAGACUGGGAGAGACGAGGUAAUCUCACCUGGGACGUGGGCGAACGCGUCCCAGAUGGAAGGCCCGCGGCCGCCGCCGGCGGCCAUGCCCUCCACCUGGUACGCCGACGUGGCCGUCCCGAAGACGAAGCCCUUGGGGAAGGACGCCCUGCUCAGCCCGCCCAGCCAGUUGGGCCGGCGCGGCGACGCCCCCGCGCCCGCGGCUCCCACGCCAUGGCACGCCGCCGCCACCAGCGCGAGCAGCAGCAGCACCGCGGACCUCGCGGCCAUCUCGCGGCCGACCGACAAACCCCGCUCGCGCGCUCGCACGACGCGGUGGCACACUCUUGCUCACUGUUCACACCCACCCUCUGGCCACUGGCAACUCGCUACUCGCUAGUAAUGCCAGAGCAGCGGCACGCUCUUCAAGCAGUAUUUGUGGGCGCGUCCAUCCUAAUAAUUGCCGGCGCGGUGGGGCGGGGCGGAGGGCAUCUUUUCUGGCGGAGCGCGCGCGUGGUCGAGGCUGGCGGCACGGGCGUGCUGGAGUACUCCAGUGGCUGGCACGGCCGGGCGCCGGUGAUAACGCCGCGUGGGUCACGGUGUCCCAGGACCAUGUGACGGACGUUCUCGCUCACGGAGGAGAAGGAAGGAAGGGGUGACGAGGCGAGGCCGGCCGGAAUGAUUAAUGGUGGCCAGUUCACGCCUGUCGGCGAGCGUCACGUGGCGGGGUCUUCCUCCGGGGAUCGCGCAUGUGACGCGGCAUGUGGUGGCGUGGAGGGUGGGGUGGGAUCAUGGGAUGGCGCGGAUAGCGGAGGUACGAACCUCGAGCCUGGCGGCGACGAACAUGUCGCGGUCCGUGCGCCCCUGCGUUGUGUGUCCACCGCGCGGCCAACCACGGUUUACCUCGGAGGUGUGGCCUGGGGCUCUCAGCUGCACGGGCACCAGUCGGUGCUGCAUACACUAGCCAGGUUGACAUGCUGCCGUUGAUUUUAUUUUUUUAAAGAUCCAACAUCGCUGGCAAUUCAUUGAUAAUAGCAAAGAGCAACGAAAAACAACAAGGUAGCCAAUUCAUUGAUAAUAGCAAAGAGCAACGAAAAACAACAAGGUAGCCAAGGCCCUAGUCCCACAAGACCAGACCCAAAAGCUGCAGCACAACACUCCAUACGAUCCACACGAGACAAACGCAGCUCCGACUCCGACGAUGAAAUAUGAAGAAACUAGGCAAGGUUGGCGUCACGGAGAAUCACUGAACGAACCACCUGUCACGUGUCAUCGUAUACCACCAGGCCCCGCCACCGCGGCUCCGACCUCACAUCAACAAACAAUCGAGACAACCCCACAGACACGCCGGAGAAGAAGAGCCGACUACCACGACCAAAACCUUGGCGGUUGAAACCUUGCACAUAUUCCAGGAAAGCUAUAUUUGAGAGAGAGAAAAAACACUUGGGAAGCGAUGGUACGAUAAGAUCAGCCCCCUCCAUGCUGUUGGAUGGAGCACCGAACAGCCGUCCGAUCUCUGCAGCCUUUGCAACAAGACUAGUGUCACCCACUUUGCAACUUCUGCCUUGUUGCGAUCCGUUGCACCGUUUCUUCUUCCUCCUUUUCCUUUGAAACAAGGCCUCUGCUGCAGUCGCAACAAAAAGACUUCUACUUAGAUGGCCAAUCCAGACAACGUCUCACAAAUAAAAAUCUGGCCGCCUUGUGCGAUCACAAUAAAAAACGCAGUAAAAAGAUCUGGAUCAAUUGUAAAAGUUUACAAAAGCUUCAAGUCCUCAUUGAAUCUCCGUUUGCAUCCACAUACAUAGGGUUGGUUCUCUUCCAUUAAAGAUUGCAUCCAUUGCCGGUGCUGCCAAUGCUACCAGCUCUAAAAGAAGGGCACAUUUUGGUACUUGCUCCAAGGAGGAUGGGCAUGUCACAUGUGCUUGAGUUAACGCAAACGACUUUACGUACUAGGAAAAUCUGGUGGUGCCGUGGUGGUGAGCUGCCAAGGCUCCUUUCCUUUCCAAUUUCUCAACUGGAACAAGUGAAUAACCAUGAUGAGGUUGUUGGUGCGGUGAGCUUUUACAAUAGUGGCAGAUCGAGCCGUCCAGGAGCACGCCCUACGGAGUUUCCUUCUAGGGUUCCUCGCGCUGCCGCCGGAGCCCGCCGCCGCUAACCCUCUCUCCCCCUCCUCAAUCCCUCCCUCCCUCCUCCCUCCCCCNNNNNNNNNNNNNNNNNNNNNNNNNNNNNNNNNNNNNNNNNNNNNNNNNNNNNNNNNNNNNNNNNNNNNNNNNNNNNNNNNNNNNNNNNNNNNNNNNNNNNNNNNNNNNNNNNNNNNNNNNNNNNNNNNNNNNNNNNNNNNNNNNNNNNNNNNNNNNNNNNNNNNNNNNNNNNNNNNNNNNNNNNNNNNNNNNNNNNNNNNNNNNNNNNNNNNNNNNNNNNNNNNNNNNNNNNNNNNNNNNNNNNNNNNNNNNNNNNNNNNNNNNNNNNNNNNNNNNNNNNNNNNNNNNNNNNNNNNNNNNNNNNNNNNNNNNNNNNNNNNNNNNNNNNNNNNNNNNNNNNNNNNNNNNNNNNNNNNNNNNNNNNNNNNNNNNNNNNNNNNNNNNNNNNNNNNNNNNNNNNNNNNNNNNNNNNNNNNNNNNNNNNNNNNNNNNNNNNNNNNNNNNNNNNNNNNNNNNNNNNNNNNNNGAUCACAGACGAGUCAGCGGAAGCAACAAUAUCUGAGUACAGACAUAAGUUAAACAAGUUUGCCUUAAGAAGGCUAGCACAAACUGGGAUACAGAUCGAACAAGGCGCAGGCCUCCUGCCUGGGAUCCUCCUAACUACUCCUGGUCGUCGUCAGCGGCCUGCACGUAGUAGUAGGCACCUCCAGUGUCGUAGGUGUCGUCGUCGACGGUGGCGUCUGGCUCCUGGACUCCAACAUCUGGUUGCGACAACCAGAUAGAAAGGAAAGGGGGAAAAGAGGGAGAGAAGCAACCGUGAGUACUCAUCCAAAGUACUCGCAAGCAAGGAGCUAUACUACAUAUGCAUGGGUAUAUGUGUAAAGGGGCAUAUCAAUGGACUGUACUGCAGAAUGCCAGAAUAAAAGGGGGAUAGCUAGUCCUGUCGAAGACUACGCUUCUGGCCAUCUCCAUCUUGCAGCAUGUAGAAGAGAGUAGAUUGAAGUCCUCCAAGUAGCAUUGCAUAGCAUAAUCCUACCCGGCGAUCCCCUCCUCGUCGCCCUGUUAGAGAGCGAUCACCGGGUUGUAUCUGGCACUUGGAAGGGUGUAUUUUAUUCAGUAUCCAGUUCUAGUUGUCAUAAGGUCAAGGUACAACUCCGGGUCGUCCUUUUACCGAGGGACACGGCUAUUCGAAUAGAUAAACUUCCCUGCAGGGGUGCACCACAUAACCCAACACGCUCGAUCCCAUUUGGCCGGACACACUUUUCUGGGUCAUGCCCGGCCUCGUAAGAUCAACACGUCGCAGCCCCACCUAGGCUCAACAGAGAGGUCAGCACGCCGGUCUAAACCUAUGCGCGCAGGGUCUGGGCCCAUCGCCCUAUGCACACCUGCACGUUGCGUACGCGGCCGGAAGCAGACCUAGCCCCCUUAAUACAAGCGCGAGCUUACGGUCCAAUGCGGCGCGCGCCACUCAGUUGUUGACGUCAAAAGAGCUUCGGCUGAUACCACGACGUCGGGAUACCCAUAACUACUCCCACGUAGAUGGUUAGUGCGUAUAGACCAAAUGGCCAGACUCAGAUCAAAUACCAAGAUCUCGUUAAGCGUGUUAAGUAACCGCGAACGCCGACCAGGGCCAGGCCCACCUCUCACCUAGGCGGUCUCAACCUGCCCUGUCGCUCCGCCACAAAGAUCCACUCGCGGGUACUCCUACGAGCCGACCCGACUUUAGUCAUCACAUGUGUCAUGUAUAUAGUAUAUAAGUAUAUACCCGUGAUCACCGCCCAGGUGAUCACGGCCCGAUAGUAUAGCACAACAGACGGACAAGAAUGUAGGGCCACUGAUGGAAAACUAGCAUCCUAUACUAAGCAUGUAGGAUUGCAGGUAAAGGUAACAACAGUAGUAGCAAGGAUAGGCUAUGCAUCAGGAUAGGAUAUCGAAAAGCAGUAACAUGCUACACUCCUCUAAUGCAAGCAGUAUAGAGAAGAAUAGGCGAUAUCUGGUGAUCAAGGGGGGGGCUUGCCUGGUUGCUCUGGCAAGUAGGAGGGGUCGUCAACUCCGUAGUCGAACUGGGCAGCAGCAGUGUCGGUCUCGUAGUCUACCGGAGAGAAGAGGGGGAAGAAACAGUAAAUACAAUGCAAACAUAAACAUGACGAUGCGUGACAUGACAAUGAGCAGUGCGAGGUGUGUCCUAACGCGACAGUAGGUGGUACCGGCGAAGGGGGGGAACAUCCGGGAAAGUAUUCCCGAUGUUUUGCGUUUUCGGACAGAUGGACCGAAGGGGGAAAGUUGCGAGUUCGAUAGGUUAGGGAGGUGUGGUGGACGAACGGACUGCGUAUCAGGAUUCGUCUCGUCGUUCUGAGCAACUUUCAUGUAGAAAACAUUUUCAUCCGAGUUACGGUUUAAAAGAUAUGAAUUUUCAAAGAUUAUUUGAAUUUCUGGAAUUAUUUGAAUUAAGCAAAAAUGAAUUAUGACGUCAGCAUGAGGUAAUGCUGACGUCAGCAGGUCAACAGGUCGGCUGACCAGUCAAACCAGACAGGUGGGUCCAGUGGGACCCACAUGUCAUUGACAGGGCACUAACAGAGUUUUAUAAUUAACUUAAACAAGGUUAUUAGCAGGUAGGCCCCACCUGUCAGUGCCUAUUUAGAUUAAUUAAUUAGUUUUAUUUAUAAAAACAUUUUUUUUGUUAAUUAUGCGGCGGGGCCCGCAUGUCAGUGGCUGGGGCCUGCCCAGUCAGCAGUUGACUGGGGUCAACCCAGUCAACUGGGCCACCAGGGCCCACUGGCAGCGACCUAGGGGGUGGCCCCAGGUGUGCCAGCUCAGCGCGGCCGGCGGCUCAACGCCGGCGACGCCAAACGCGGCGGCGCGGCUCGGAUCUCGCCGGAUUUCGCCUACGGGGCUCGGGGAGGAGCGGGGCUAGUCUCAUUCGAACGAGCUCGCAGCGCCGCAUCCAGUGGUGGCCGUAGCUUCGCCGGACUUGGCCGGAAUCGGCGCCGGCGAGUGGCGGAGGUGGCGGCGUGCACGGGUGCUCGACGAAAACGGAGCUACGGCGUGCUAUCGAGCAAACGGAGGGGCUGGGGAGUAUCUACGCGCUGUGGGGAGUGCAACGGGCUUGAGCCCGUGACCAAAAGGUCACCGGAGCCUUGCUGGCGGCGAGCUCCGCGGCGACGCGUUCAGACGCAAGCAGAGCGGCGGCUACGAGAGCUCAAGAGGCCAGGAGAGCGAGGGGAGAGGAUGAGGGGCUCACCGCGCGGCGCAAGAAAGGCCCGUGGGAGGCUUAGUAGCAGCAGCAGUCGCCGGAGUCGAAGAAGACGGCAGCGACCCGAGGAAGAAGGCGACGGCGUUGGGGGUGAUGUAGGGGGUCCCGGCUCGAGCAAGUGGUCGGGGAGGACGGGCUCGACGUGGCGGAGCUCGUGGACACGUCGAGGUCGCGAGGAAAGCACGGUGGUCGCGUGAACGACGGAGAACGGCGGCGACCGCGUCGGUCUCCUCUCCAGAACGAAGGAGAGGGUGAGGGGAGAGGUGGAUCUGGGGGAGGGGAGGCGCAGAGGCGAGCGAGAGGGGCAAGUGGGAGGGAUGGGCGGAGGCCGAGGCGUCGGGGCGGCCUUAUCCUCCCCCGUCGCCGGCGAGGGGGUGCGGCGGGGACCUGCCCUGUUCCGACCCCGGUCGGGGGAACAGGGAAGGGGAGGGCAUGGUCGAGCGAGGUGGGCCAGGCCGGCUGGGCCUGGGGUCGGCCCAGUUGGGCCAGGGUCCAGUGGGGGAAGGGGGGGUUCCUUUUCUUGUUUGUUUUCUUUUUUCUUUUUGUUCUGUUUUCUCUUUAUUUAUUUAUUUUCUUUUCUGCUUUAAUUCAUUUAAAAGCAUUUAGGAAUUUUAUAAAAAUGUGAUUACUUCACCAUAAUUACCGAUGCAAUAAUUGACAUGGCCCGAACAUUUUUAUUAUAAUAUUUGAAAACUUUUGUCGUUUGACUUAUUUAGGAUUUAAAUUUGAAACGGUUUUGAAUUAACCCGAGAUUAAUUUCAGUGACAGAGGUGACGUGCCAUCAUUAACGUGAGAUUACUGUAGCAUGAUUAUCCGGGCGUUACAAAUCUCCUCCACUAAAAGAAAUCUCGUCCCGAGAUUUAGGAGGUAGAAGGAAACAGUGCGGGGUAUUCUUAGCGCAGACGAUCCUCUCGUUCCCAAGUGGCCUCAUCUUCAGAAUGGUGCGACCACUGGACUUUGAGAAACUUGAUCGCUUUCUGACGUGUGCGGCGUUCAGCUUGGUCGAGAAUGCGGACCGAAUGCUCCUUAUAGGAGAGGUCUUGCUGCAAUUCGAGCACUUCAUGAUCCACAGCUCGGAUUGGGUCCUUGAAGCAACGGCGGAGCUGUGACACAUGGAACACAUCGUGUACCUGAGAAAGGUUCGGCGGUAGUUCCAGUUGGUAUGCCACCUUUCCACGCCUUUCGAGAAUAGUGAAUGGGCCAAUAUAGCGAGGAGUUAGUUUGCCCUUGAUUCCGAAGUGGUGAGCACCCUUCAUUGGUGUGACUCGAAGAUAAGCCUUUUCGCCAGGUUGAUAGACCAUGUCUUUAUGAUGACGGUUAUACUGACUCUUCUGACGUGACUGAGCAGUCUUGAGAUUCUCGCGAAUAAUGCGGACUUGUUCUUCGGCAUGUUGGAUAAUAUCCGGACCAAAGAGUGGACGUUCCCCAGUUUCUGACCAGUUCAGAGGGGUUCGGCACUUUCGUCCAUAUAACACUUCGAAGGGGGGCCAUCUUCAGACUAGCUUGAUAGCUAUUAUUAUAAGAGAACUCAGCAUACGAGAGAGAUUCCUCCCAUUUCUUGGCGAAGGAAAUAACACAAGCUCGAAGCAUAUCUUCGAGAACUUGGUUGACGCGUUCGACUUGCCCUUGCGACUGAGGAUGAAACGCAGUACUGAAUGACAGAUGAGUUCCCAUGGCUUCUUGGAAACUUGCCCAGAAUCUUGAAGUGAAUAAGCUACCACGGUCUGAGAUGAUAACCAAUGGAAUACCGUGGAGUGAAACAAUCCUGGACAUAUAGAGCGUUGCCAGCUGACUAGCAGUGAUUGUUUCUUUGACCGCCAGAAAAUGUGCAACUUUGGAAAGCCGGUCAAUGACGACAAGAAUAGCAUCAUUACCUUUCUGUGAUUUGGGAAAUCCAGUGACGAAGUCCAUCUCAACAUGGUCCCAUUUCCAUUCAGGAAUAGAGAUAGGUUGCAGAGUUCCAGCAGGCCUUUGAUGUUCUGCUUUGAUACGACGGCAAACGUCACACUCAGCAACAUAACGAGCAAUGUCUUGCUUCAUAUUAGACCACCAGAAUCUCUGACGGAUGUCUUGGUACAUCUUUGUACUACCAGGAUGGAUACAUAGAGGCGUAUCAUGAGCUUCUUUCAUAACUUCCUGUGUCAUAUCCAGGUUUUUCUCUGCACAUGGCACCACUAGGCGGCCCUUGAAGUAUAAGGUGCCAUCUUCAGCAAUAGUGAAGAAUGAGGGCUUUCCUUCUGCGAGGUAGUGCUUAAUCUUGUGGGCUUCAGAGUCAUAUCCCUGUAUUCUCUUGAUGGAGUCCAGGAGAUCUGGUUCUACGGCCAGGGUAUUGAGGGAACCCUGGGGAACAACACGGAGGUUCAUCUUGCGAAACUCCUUAGGAGGGGGAGCGAGUGCACCCGGAGGGACAAUAUGGAGGUUUAGCUUCCCGAAUUCUUCAACAAGCGAGGGCUAAACUUUGUGAACCUGGAGGUGGUUGCAGUAAGACUUGCGGCUCAAGGCAUCAGCCAUUACAUUAGCCUUGGCUGGCGUAUAGGAAAUACCCAAGUCAAAGUCUGCAACAAGCUCCAUCCAUCUCUGUUGACGGAGGUUCAGAUCUGGCUGAGUAAACAGAUACUUCAGACUUUGGUGGUCAGUGAAGAUCUCGUAACGAUUACUGAGAAGGUAAUGUCGCCACUGCUUCAGCGCAUGAAUGACAGCAACAAGUUCGAGGUCGUGAACUGGGUAGUUCUCUUCGUGAGGGCGCAAUUGCCGAGAGGCAUAAGCAAUCACUUUGCGGUCUUGCAUUAGGACACAGCCUAAUCCUUGACGGGAAGCGUCGCAGUAAAUGACGAAGUCCUUCUUAGUAUCCGGUGGAGCUAGAACUGGGGCAGAAGUCAACUUGUCUUUGAGUGCCUGGAAACUUUCCUGACAUUUGUCUGUCCAUUGGAACUUGACGCCCUUAUGCAACAGGUUAGUCAGAGGUCUGGCGAUCUUGGAGAAGUUCUCGACGAAUCGACGGCAAUAGCUGGCGAGAUCGAGAAAACUUCUCACUUGCUUAACGUUCUUGGGAGGAGUCCAAUCAAGAAUAGCCUGAACUCGCUCGGGGUUGACGGCAAUACCAUCCUUAGAGAUGGCAUGCCCAAGAUAGGUUACUUCCGGUAGCCAGAAUUCACAUUUGGAGAACUUGGCAUAUAGUUGAUGUUCUCGUAGCUUUUCCAGCACAAGUCGAAGAUGUUCAACGUGUUCUUCUUCGUUCUUGGAAAAUACCAGGAUAUCAUCCAGAUAAACCACAACGAACUUGUCGAGGUAAUCCAUGAAUAUAUAGUUCAUCAGUCGAGAGAAGGUGGCUGGAGCAUUGGUUAAACCGAAAGACAUGACGGUGUACUCGUAUGAACCAUAGCGAGUCACGAAGGCGGUCUUUGGGAUAUCCUCUUCGCGAACACGGAUCUGGUGGUAACCCAACCUCAAGUCGAGCUUAGAGAACACUGACGAACCCGCCAGUUGACCAUACAGAUCAUUGAUCCGAGGAAGAGGGUAUUUAUUCUGAAUGGUAGCUUGGUUUAUAGGAUGGUAGUCUUGAACUAACCGGUUUGUCCCAUCCUUCUUCUUGACAAAGAGAGAAGGUGCUCCCCAAGGAGAGCAACUUGGGCGAAUGAAUCCUUUGCGAAGAGAUUUGUCGAUUUCUUCCUUAAGCUCAAGGUGUUCAUGCGGCGGCAUUUUGUAGGGUCGCUUGGCUAUAGGAGUGGUGCCUGGUUUCAAGUCGAUGAUGAAUUCGACAGCUCUAGCAGGGGGAAUCCCUGGAAGUUCUUCAGGGAAGACGUCGAGGAAUUCACGCACGACGGGAAUGUUUUCAAUGCCCUCGAGUGGUGCAGCAUUCAAUGCAUUCAAUGCAUAGAGCCUUGCCUCGGCAUUUUGCACCAGAUGGGCUUGGUAAGUAACUAUCUCAUCUGAAGGGUGUAGCAGAUGGACGGUCUUAGUGGCGCAAACUAUAGAAGCAGUAUGCGCUUUCAACCAAUCCAUACCCAAAAUGAGGUCGAUGUUAGACGACUUUAGGAUAAUGGGAGAGGCAUAGAAUUCCAGCCCUUCGAUUUCCACGGGGACAUCGAUGCCAACCAAGGAGGUUUGACACUGUCCAACGGGGGUUUUGACCAAUACAGAGGUGUUCAUCUCCUCACAUUUAACGUCGUGCUUGUAUGCAAAAUCUUCUGACAUGAAUGAAUGCGAUGCACCUAUAUCAAAUAAAACGGAUGCUAGUACUGAAUUUACGAGGAGUGUACCCAUCACAGUAGCAGGCUGGUCUUGAGCUUCGUUGAGGUCAACGUGGUUGGCAUGAGCACGACCAUAAGACUUAGCAUUGUUUUUGCGGGGCUGGUUGUUACCACGGCCCGUUGCUGGAAGGGCAAGUUGAUUCUGAUUCUGAUUGCAGUCCCUGGCACGGUGACCUGGUUGCCCACACUUGUAGCACAGACCAUUAUUGGGAGUGGGAACAGGAGCUUGGGAUGGUGGAGCUGGAAGUCUUGACUGCCUAGAUGGUGGUGGAGGCAGACGAGGUGCAGCAUAGGUCUGCCUUGGGGCAGAUGCAUUUGGACGGUACAUGCUGUUCGGGAUCCAUAUCUUACGCUUCUGUGAGGGCGAGCCCGAAGAUGAGCCCGUGUCACGGUUGCGCCUGUGAGAGCUCUGGUAUUCCUGCAGACCAGUUUCGACAUUGAUGGCCUUGUUCACCAAGGUGGCGAAAUCAGCAAAGUCAUGCACUAGAAGUGCGAGCUUGAUGUCAGCUUGAAGGCCAUCACGGAACUUCUCCUGUCUGCGUGCAUCAGUUGCAAUGUCCUCUUCAGCAUAGCGAGACAAGUCCAGAAACUCCCGCUGAUAAGCUUCAACAGUUUUGUUGCCUUGAGUGAGGUUGCGGAACUCACGCUUCUUCCGGUCCAUGACUCCCUGAGGAAUGAAGCGGGCACGGAAAGCUGCUUGGAAGUCUGGCCAUGUGAUGAUUGUUCCAGCUGGCAGAGUACGCCUGUGGCUGUCCCACCAUUGAGCUGCGGGUCCCUUCAAGAAGAAGGAAGCAAAGGUGACAUAGCUGGCAGGGGCUACAUCAGCAGACUCCAUCUCAUAGGUGAUGUCACGGAGCCAGUCAUCAGCAUCCAGAGGCUGAGUUGAGCUGCGGUAGAUGGUUGGGUUGAGGCGUAUGAAAUCUUGAAGAGUCACUUGGGCUGGCUGCUGGUUCAUAUUGGGGCGAGGAAACUGAGCCAUCAUAUUUUCCAUGAACUGGCGGUUCAGUUCAAACUGUUGGAUCAUACCAGCCAUGUACUCAGGUGGUGGUGGGGCAUCGCCACCACGUCCACGACCACCUGGUCUAACCAUCCUGCUAAUAUAUAACAGGGGUAGUUCAGCAUUGAGAAAUUUGCAAAGACAAGAAUCAUUCAUGAUGAAACAUGCAUAAUGAAAGGAGCACGAUAGCUACUACAUAGUAGUCGGCAUAACUUACAAAGGGGUCAUGCAUAGAGUUCAGUACAUAGACUAAAACAACAUAGGCGGCACACAGGCUCGCGGCGAAUGCAUCUAACACUACAAGCAAGCCUACAUCAGUCCCAAGAGGUACUGUGGAGGUAAUCGUAGCCCGACAGCUGGUAGUGAGGCAACGGAUAGCCCUCCACAUCAGCAGACUGGGGGCCGCGGAUACUCAGGUGUAGAGCCCGACGCUCAGGUGGCAGAAGAGGACCAAGUGCAGGGGAGUAGCCUCCCACCUCUGGCCAACCGACACUGUGGGGCAUCACGGUCCUGGCUGGGUAGAUCGCAGUACGCGGUACCUAUCCAGAUCGGACAAAGGGGUGCAGCAACGUCAGAGCACGGUAAAGGUGCUGACGGGUGGUGUACAUCUCGUGGCGAAGAGCUCGGUUAGCUCGAUCCAGCCCAUCAGCAUGCAGAACCAGGUUCUGAUGGUAGAAGGGCUCUCGGGUGACAGUGGAGUAGGCAGCAGUAUAGUAUCCCUCCGCACCAACAUCAGAUGCGAUAGCAAUGUGCCUGAAAGGGGAGGUGUCCAACUCCCGAUACUCUCCACGAAGACGUGUCAGAGCAGCAUAGGCAGCAUCGUGGACAGCCAUAUCGAUGGUCACACCAACACCAUGUGCGGUGUGCAGCACAGUAGUGGAGUCAUACUCCCGCGAGUAGAGGUGGACGAUGGCACGGUACUGCUCCUAGUUAAAGUCCUGGUACUCCUCGUAGACGGUGUACUCAGGGUGCCAGCGAUAACCCAGAUAGGUCAUCAUCUCAGCUAGCACAGCCGGUGAUCCCGAGGCACCAAUGGCCGUCGUGUGACGCACGACCUGCCUCGUGGGUUCCAUCUGAAAGCAAAGACGUUUCAAAGGAGUCAAAUGACAGUGUGUGAAUUGUUCAAAAUACUAUUCUAAGAAACAACUAUGGCUUAUCCAACUUUGGGGUGAAUGCGGUCACGGGAUCCUAGUGUUAGAGUUAGUAAAUUCGUUUAACCCGAGUAGAAGAGAGUUCAGAGUCCCAGAGUAAAGGUCGAGGAGUAAAAGAUCCUAGUACCACCCAAUGGCGACGUGGGCCCAUAAGACACACAGCCAUGUUAGUAAAAGCUUUGUAAUGUCUAGACUCGACUUCAGCCAAAGAGUGUGGAAAGGGGGAUUCCUACAGGCAGUCGGCUCUGAUACCAACUUGUGACGCCCCCGAUUUGACCGUACACUAAUCAUGCACGCAAAUGUGUACGAUCAAGAUCAGGGACUCACGGGAAGAUAUCACAACACAACUCUACAACAUAAAUAAGUCAUACAAGCAUCAUAAUACAAGCCAGGGGCCUCGAGGGCUCGAAUACAAGUGCUUGAUCACAGACGAGUCAGCGGAAGCAACAAUAUCUGAGUACAGACAUAAGUUAAACAAGUUUGCCUUAAGAAGGCUAGCACAAACUGGGAUACAGAUCGAACAAGGCGCAGGCCUCCUGCCUGGGAUCCUCCUAACUACUCCUGGUCGUCGUCAGCGGCCUGCACGUAGUAGUAGGCACCUCCAGUGUCGUAGGUGUCGUCGUCGACGGUGGCGUCUGGCUCCUGGACUCCAACAUCUGGUUGCGACAACCAGAUAGAAAGGAAAGGGGGAAAAGAGGGAGAGAAGCAACCGUGAGUACUCAUCCAAAGUACUCGCAAGCAAGGAGCUAUACUACAUAUGCAUGGGUAUAUGUGUAAAGGGGCAUAUCAAUGGACUGUACUGCAGAAUGCCAGAAUAAAAGGGGGAUAGCUAGUCCUGUCGAAGACUACGCUUCUGGCCAUCUCCAUCUUGCAGCAUGUAGAAGAGAGUAGAUUGAAGUCCUCCAAGUAGCAUUGCAUAGCAUAAUCCUACCCGGCGAUCCCCUCCUCGUCGCCCUGUUAGAGAGCGAUCACCGGGUUGUAUCUGGCACUUGGAAGGGUGUAUUUUAUUCAGUAUCCAGUUCUAGUUGUCAUAAGGUCAAGGUACAACUCCGGGUCGUCCUUUUACCGAGGGACACGGCUAUUCGAAUAGAUAAACUUCCCUGCAGGGGUGCACCACAUAACCCAACACGCUCGAUCCCAUUUGGCCGGACACACUUUUCUGGGUCAUGCCCGACGUCGGGAUACCCAUAACUACUCCCACGUAGAUGGUUAGUGCGUAUAGACCAAAUGGCCAGACUCAGAUCAAAUACCAAGAUCUCGUUAAGCGUGUUAAGUAACCGCGAACGCCGACCAGGGCCAGGCCCACCUCUCACCUAGGCGGUCUCAACCUGCCCUGUCGCUCCGCCACAAAGAUCCACUCGCGGGUACUCCUACGAGCCGACCCGACUUUAGUCAUCACAUGUGUCAUGUAUAUAGUAUAUAAGUAUAUACCCGUGAUCACCGCCCAGGUGAUCACGGCCCGAUAGUAUAGCACAACAGACGGACAAGAAUGUAGGGCCACUGAUGGAAAACUAGCAUCCUAUACUAAGCAUGUAGGAUUGCAGGUAAAGGUAACAACAGUAGUAGCAAGGAUAGGCUAUGCAUCAGGAUAGGAUAUCGAAAAGCAGUAACAUGCUACACUACUCUAAUGCAAGCAGUAUAGAGAAGAAUAGGCGAUAUCUGGUGAUCAAGGGGGGGGGGGGCUUGCCUGGUUGCUCUGGCAAGUAGGAGGGGUCGUCAACUCCGUAGUCGAACUGGGCAGCAGCAGUGUCGGUCUCGUAGUCUACCGGAGAGAAGAGGGCGAAGAAACAGUAAAUACAAUGCAAACAUAAACAUGACGAUGCGUGACAUGACAAUGAGCAGUGCGAGGUGUGUCCUAACGCGACAGUAGGUGGUACCGGCGAAGGGGGGGAACAUCCGGGAAAGUAUUCCCGAUGUUUUGCGUUUUCGGACAGAUGGACCGGAGGGGGAAAGUUGCGAGUUCGAUAGGUUAGGGAGGUGUGGUGGACGAACGGACUGCGCAUCCGGAUUCGUCUCGUCGUUCUGAGCAAUUUUCAUGUAGAAAACAUUUUCAUCCGAGUUACGGUUUAAAAGAUAUGAAUUUUCAAAGAUUAUUUGAAUUUCUGGAAUUAUUUGAAUUAAGCAAAAAUGAAUUAUGACGUCAGCAUGAGGUAAUGCUGACGUCAGCAGGUCAACAGGUCGGCUGACCAGUCAAACCAGACAGGUGGGUCCAGUGGGAUCCACAUGUCAUUGACAGGGCACUAACAGAGUUUUAUAAUUAACUUAAACAAGGUUAUUAGCAGGUAGGCCCCACCUGUCAGUGCCUAUUUAGAUUAAUUAAUUAGUUUUAUUUAUAAAAACAUUUUUUUUGUUAAUUAUGCGGCGGGGCCCGCAUGUCAGUGGCUGGGGCCUGCCCAGUCAGCAGUUGACUGGGGUCAACCCAGUCAACUGGGCCACCAGGACCCACUGGCAGCGACCCAGGGGGUGGCCCCAGGUGUGCCAGCUCAGCGCGGCCGGCGACGCCAAACGCGGCGGCGCGGCCGGCGACGCCAAACGCGGCGGCGCGGCUCGGAUCUCGCCGGAUUUCGCCUACGGGGCUCAGGGAGGAGCGGGGCUAGUCUCAUUCGAACGAGCCCGCAGCGCCGCAUCCAGUGGUGGCCGUAGCUUCGCCGGACUUGGCCGGAAUCGGCGCCGGCGAGCGGCGGAGGUGGCGGCGUGCACGGGUGCUCGACGAAAACGGAGCUACGGCGUGCUAUCGAGCAAACGGAGGGGCUGGGGAGUAUCUACGCGCUGUGGGGAGUGCAACGGGCUUGAGCCCGUGACCAAAAGGUCACCGGAGCCUUGCCGGCGGCGAGCUCCGCGGCGACGCGUUCAGACGCAAGCAGAGCGGCGGCUACGAGAGCUCAAGAGGCCAGGAGAGCGAGGGGAGAGGAUGAGGGGCUCACCGCGCGGCGCAAGAAAGGCCCGUGGGAGGCUUAGUAGCAGCAGCAGUCGCCGGAGUCGAAGAAGACGGCGGCGACCCGAGGAAGAAGGCGACGGCGUUGGGGGUGAUGUAGGGGGUCCCGGCUCGAGCAGGUGGUCGGGGAGGACGGGCUCGACGCGGCGGAGCUCGUGGACACGUCGAGGUCGCGAGGAAAGCACGGUGGUCGCGUGAACGACGGAGAACGGCGGCGACCGCGUCGGUCUCCUCUCCAGAACGAAGGAGAGGGUGAGGGGAGAGGUGGAUCUGGGGGAGGGGAGGCGCAGAGGCGAGCGAGAGGGGCAAGUGGGAGGGAUGGGCGGAGGCCGAGGCGUCGGGGCGGCCUUAUCCUCCCCCGUCGCCGGCGAGGGGGUGCGGCGGGGACCUGCCCUGUUCCGACCCCGGUCGGGGGAACAGGGAAGGGGAGGGCAUGGUCGAGCGAGGUGGGCCAGGCCGGCUGGGCCUGGGGUCGGCCCAGUUGGGCCAGGGUCCAGUGGGGGAAGGGGGGUUCCUUUUCUUGUUUGUUUUCUUUUUUCUUUUUGUUCUGUUUUCUCUUUAUUUAUUUAUUUUCUUUUCUGUUUUAAUUCAUUUAAAAGCAUUUAGGCAUUUUAUAAAAAUGUGAUUACUUCACCAUAAUUACCGAUGCAAUAAUUGACAUGGCCCGAACAUUUUUAUUAUAAUAUUUGAAAACUUUUGUCGUUUGACUUAUUUAGGAUUUAAAUUUGAAACGGUUUUGAAUUAACCCGAGAUUAAUUUCAGUGACAGAGGUGACGUGCCAUCAUUAACGUGAGAUUACUGUAGCAUGAUUAUCCGGGCGUUACACGACGCGACGGUGCGGCCGUUGGCCGUGGGGCGGCGCGGUGGCGCUGGUGGCCGGCGGCGCCCGUGGCCCCAUCUGGGUUGGGGCGGGCCGGUGGCACAACGUUCGGCGGCGACGCUCCUUGGUGGUGGCGAGGUGGCGGCGGUCUGCGGGUGGUGAGGACUUCGUCGGUCGGAGAGUUGCAGCGUGGUGACAGACUGACAGGACUGUCCGGGUUCAAGAGGGCCCGGCAAGUCCUCGUCCCCGCGUCCGGUCGGCUCCGCUGCAGCGGUGGAGGUUGUCCCCUCCCUCUGGUCGAGCUGUGGUCGCUCCCGUGGCCGGUGUCUCCUUUCCCUCUCCAGGUCUCGUGUUGGCAUCUCCAGAGAGGUGGCAAGGGUGGUCCGGUAACCGUGGUGGCACAGGCUGGUGGGCGGCGGAUGGUGUGGUGCAUUUCAAAGUGCCCGGGGUGGUGGUGGUGGAUCGGGAGAAAUCCCUGUCGGCUUGUCCGACACCAACGCGGUGACGCCUGCGGGCGCCGUCGGACCUUCCUAAGGGGCGUCGGGUGUAUCCCUUCCCCACUACCCCCCGCGUACCGCGGGAAAUCCUAGAACUUGUUCGGGCAACAGCGACGGCGGCGGCGUCGCAUCCCCUUCUUGAAGGUGUUUCUUGGUGCGCGGUGCUUCGUGAAGGAAAUAUGCCCUAGAGGCAAUAAUAAAGUUAUUAUUUAUUUCCUUAUUUCAUGGUAAAUGUUUAUUAUUCAUGCUAGAAUUGUAUUAUCCGGAAACUUAGUACAUGUGUGAAUACAUAGACAAAACAAAGUGUCCCUAGUAUGCCUCUACUUGACUAGCUCGUUUAUCAAAGAUGGUUAUGUUUCCUAACCAUAGACAUGUGUUGUCAUUUGAUGAAUGAGAUCACAUCAUUAGGAGAAUGAUGUGAUGGACAAGACCCAUUCAUUAGCUUAGCAUUAUGAUCGUUACAAUUUCAUUGGUACUACUUUAUUCAUGACUUAUACAUGUCCUCAGACUAUGAGAUUAUGCAACUCCCGAAUACCGGAGGAACACUUUGUGUGCUACCAAACGUCACAACGUAACUGGGUGAUUAUAAAGGUGCUCUACAGGUGUCUUCGAAGGUGUUUGUUGGGUUGGCAUAUAUCGAGAUUAGGAUUUGUCACUCCGUGUUUCGGAGAGGUAUCUCUGGGCCCUCUCGGUAAUGCACAUCACUAUAAGCCUUGCAAGCAAUGUGACUAAUGAGUUAGUUACGGGAUGAUGCACUACGGAACGAGUAAAGAGACUUGCCGGUAACGAGAUUGAACUAGGUAUUGAGAUACUGACGAUCGAAUCUCGGGCAAGUAACAUACCGAUGACAAAGGGAACAACGUAUGUUGUUAUGCGGUUUGACCGAUAAAGAUAUUCGUAGAAUAUGUGGGAGCCAAUAUGAGCAUCCAGGUUCCGCUAUUGGUUAUUGACCGGAGACGUGUCUCGGUCAUCUCUACAUAGUUCUCGAACCCGUAGGGUCCGCACGCUUAACGUUCGGUGACGAUCGGUAUUAUGAGUUUAUGUGUUUUGAUGUACCGAAGGUUGUUCGGAGUCCCGGAUAUGAUCAUGGACAUGACGAGGAGUCUCGAAAUGGUCGAGACCUAAAAUCGAUAUAUUGGAUGACUAUGUUUGGACGUCGGAAUGGUUCCGGAUGAGUUCGGGCAUAUACCGGAGUACCUGGAGGUUACCGGAACCCCCCGAGAAGUAUAUGGGCCUUAUUGGGCCAUAGUGGGAGAGAGAAGAGGGAAGCCUAGGAGGGGGCGUGCCCCCCCCAAGCCCAAUCCGAAUUGGGUAGGGGGCCGGCCCCCCCUUUCCUCCCCCCUCUCCCCCCUUCCUUCCUCUCCUAAUCCAACUAGGGAAGGGGGGGGGAAUCCUACCCCCGGUGGGAGUAGGACUCCCUUGGGGCGUGCCAUGGGAGGGCCGGCCCUCCCCCUCCUCCACUCCUUUAUAUACGGAGGAGGGGGGCACCCCAUAGACACACAAGUUGAUCAUUGAUCUCUUAGCCGUGUGCGGUGCCCCCCUCCACCAUAAUCCACCUCGGUCAUAUCGUUGCAGUGCUUAGGCGAGGCCCUGCGCCGGUAGCUUCAUCAUCACCAUCAUCACGCCGUCGUGUUGACGAACCUCUCCCUCGACACUCUGCUGGAUCGUGAGUUCGUGGGACGUCGCCGAGCCGAACGUGUGCAGAUCACGGAGGUGCCGUACUUUCGGUACUAGGAUCGGUCGAUCGUGAAGACGUACGACUACAUCAACCGUGUUGUCAUGACGCUUCCGCUUACGGUCUACGAGGGUACGUAGACAACACUCUCCCCUCUCGGUUCUAUGCAUCACCAUGAUCUUGCGUGUGCGUAUGAUUUUUUUUUUUUUGAAAUUACUACGUCCCCAACACUUCGGGAUACUGGGAGCAUGGUGGUACUUCUUCGAAGGGUGCAGCGGUUGCCGGUCUUCCUUUCUUUGUUGAUCUGCCGGUGUCGGCAUUUAUUUCUCUUUCUUUUUCUUGCUUUUCCUUUUGGGCUUAUCUGUGUUGCGGCCCCAGCGAGCUAGAUGUUCGGAUGUUUACUUUAUAAUAUAAAGCGGGGGAAACCUUUAUCGUCAAUAGCGGCAAGUGGGUGCACACAAACAAUAGUGUGAAACUGAACAAGGUUGUUCCAAUACACUCUACGCUGCAGCACAUUUUCAAAGCCAAUAUACUGCUGGCGUCCACUGCUUAUCAAGUACAGCUACUUGCCGCAGCAAGAGAAAAUAAACUCACCAUUAGAAGGAGAGCAUGAAGAUGGAGGGAAGAACCAGAUACAAGCAAACCAGCAGGGAGAGCAGGACCCGGGGGCUACUCGAGGUGGCCGAACCACCAGCUGCUGCCAUGUUGCUGCUUGAGACGCCGGAGCCGGCUUGAGUGCUGCCAGAAGUAACUGCGCCGUCUUUCGAGCCGGGCCCCGACGCCUGCAGCAUGUUCUUGAACCAGUAGGCCGAGUCCUUGGGGUACCGCUUGAGGGUGGUGAAGUCGACGUACACGAUGCCGAACUUGGAGGUGUAGCCCGACAGCCACUCGAAGUUGUCCAGGAGGGACCACGCAAAGUAGCC
This 22217-nucleotide long non-coding RNA is filed under the name Triticum aestivum (bread wheat). Its description in RNAcentral is "long non-coding RNA (TAES_LNC004031)". The record is from RNAcentral. Lineage: Eukaryota; Viridiplantae; Streptophyta; Magnoliopsida; Poales; Poaceae.